Molecule: ribosomal RNA, 631 nt
Filed under: uncultured bacterium
Lineage: Bacteria
Description: bacterial SSU rRNA
Rfam family: Bacterial small subunit ribosomal RNA
Source: RNAcentral
GAUCCCUUCGGGGUGAACUUGGUGCUGACGAGUGGCGAACGGGUGAGUAAUGCUUAUGAAUCUGCCCAGUAGUGGGGGACAACCCGGGGAAACCCGGGCUAAUACCGCGUACGCUCUACGGAGGAAAGCGGGGGAUCUUCGGACCUCGCGCUAUUGGAUGAGCCUAAGUCGGAUUAGCUUGUUGGUGGGGUAAAGGCCUACCAAGGCAACGAUCCGUAGCUGGUCUGAGAGGACGACCAGCCACACUGGGACUGAGACACGGCCCAGACUCCUACGGGAGGCAGCAGUGGGGAAUAUUGGACAAUGGGCGCAAGCCUGAUCCAGCAAUGCCGCGUGUGUGAAGAAGGCCUGCGGGUUGUAAAGCACUUUCAGUUGGGAAGAAAAGCUUGAGGUUAAUACCCUCGGGUCUUGACGUUACCUACAGAAGAAGCACCGGCCAACUCCGUGCCAGCAGCCGCGGUAAUACGGAGGGUGCGAGCGUUAAUCGGAAUUACUGGGCGUAAAGCGCACGCAGGUGGCUGGGUCAGUCGGAUGUGAAAUCCCUGGGCUUAACCUGGGGAUUGCAUUCGAAACUGCCCGGCUAGAGUAUGGGAGAGGGAAGUGGAAUUCCCGGUGUAGCGGUGAAAUGCGU